RNAcentral lists this ribosomal RNA (1212 nucleotides) under Triticum aestivum (bread wheat). RNAcentral's name for it is "partial small subunit ribosomal RNA". The record is from RNAcentral. Lineage: Eukaryota; Viridiplantae; Streptophyta; Magnoliopsida; Poales; Poaceae.
AUGAGCUAUGACGAGAGCGAGAGGAGUAGGCGCCGCCGCCGCCGCAGCUCCCGCUCGUCGGCGGCGCAGCCGCUGGAGGACGACAACCUCCUCUCCGAGAUCCUCCUCCGCCUCCCGCCAGAUCCGUCCUCCCUCCCUCGCGCCUCCCUCGUCUCCAAGCGCUGGCUUGGCCUCAUCUCUGACCCGGGCUUCUCCCGCCGCUUCCUUCUCCACCACCGCCGCAACCCUCCUCUCCUCGGUUUCUUCGUCCCUUUCAAUUUCAAACCUGCAAUGGAUCCCCCCAAUCGUGUCCCGGAUGGCUACUUCUCCUUGUGCCUUGACCGCGAAAAUGGCGGCGGCAUCUUCAUGCCCAUGGGAUCCCGCCAUGGCCUCCUACUCAUGUACCAAUCAGCGCGGUACCAGCUCUUGGUGUGGGAUCCCUUCAACGUCGACCUACACCGCCUAGCCGUUCCCCCGGAGUGGCUGAAGGCCCCGUUCAAAGGGGCGGUUUUUUGCGGCGCCGGAGACAUUCAACACUUCCGGCUGGUCUUGGUAAGCACAGAGACAGACAAGCAGCAACAUACACGGGCCAUCGCCCGCGUUUACUCGUCGGAGACUGCCAUAUGGGGUGAUCGCAUAUCAACACCACUUCCAUCCAAACUUCCCACCAAGAGUCACAUGUACUUUACCAUAAGUGUGCUAGUUGGGCAUUCCCUUUACUGGUUGUUCGAUGACACAUCGGCAAAAACUCUACUAUUGGAUGGCAUACUUGAGUUUGAUUUGGAGAAGCAGAUCCUAGCUGUGAAACCAGUACCAGUGGGUAUUCCCAAGGAAAACAUGUGCCGAUUCCAGGUUAUGCGGGCAGAGGGUGGUGGCCUUGGCAUUCUCUUUCUGUCAAAUUUCAGUGCCCAAUUAUGGAAGGUGGAGACCGAUUGUGAUGGUGCUGCUUCAUGGGUGCUAGGAAGAACUGUUGAACUGUAUAAGUUACUUUCCAUUGAUUCAAGGAAGAAGAGAAAAUGGCACCAAUGUAUAGUGGGGUUUGCUGAGUACAAUAAUGUGCUGCUCCUACGGACACCUACCGACCUCUUCAUGAUCCAGCUUGAGCCACUGCAGUUCAAGAAAGUUUCCAAGACCAAGAAGUGGGCUCACUAUCAUCCGUUUGAAAGUGUUUAUGCUGCAGGAACGAGCAUUGGUGGUGGACAUGAUGGAGCUGAACUUUUGCACAAUACAUAA